This 211-nucleotide ribosomal RNA is filed under the name uncultured bacterium. RNAcentral's name for it is "partial 16S ribosomal RNA". It matches the Rfam family "Bacterial small subunit ribosomal RNA", at positions 1290 to 1500 of the family's 1533-position model. The record is from RNAcentral.
AGUUCGGAUCGCAGGCUGCAACCCGCCUGCGUGAAGCCGGAAUUGCUAGUAAUCGUAGGUCAGCAUACUACGGUGAAUACGUUCCCGGGCCUUGUACACACCGCCCGUCAAACCAUGAGAGUUGGCAACACCCGAAGUCGGUAGUCUAACCGCAAGGAGGACGCCGCCGAAGGUGGGGUUGAUGAUUAGGGUUAAGUCGUAACAAGGUAGC